Molecule: small nucleolar RNA, 110 nt
Organism: Pristis pectinata (smalltooth sawfish)
Lineage: Eukaryota; Metazoa; Chordata; Chondrichthyes; Rhinopristiformes; Pristidae
Product: small nucleolar RNA SNORD124
Exons: 1
Source: RefSeq, a predicted model, not a curated record
GUAGUGAGAGGAAGGAAUGAUGUGUUAGACAACUGCCAAGAAAAGGAUUCUGAUUAAAUCUGCUUUGCAGUGAUGGAACUUCACUUAUUACUGACCUUCCUUUGAUUCUC